RNAcentral lists this unclassified non-coding RNA (166 nucleotides) under soil metagenome. Its description in RNAcentral is "partial contains 5.8S ribosomal RNA, internal transcribed spacer 2, and large subunit ribosomal RNA". The record is from RNAcentral.
AACGCACGAGACCUGCGGACCUGCGGAGGGAUCAUUAGUGAACGCCCUCACGGGCUUAUAACUAUUCCAAACCUCUGUGAACCGUGCCCUUCGGGGCUAUUUUACAAACAUGGUGUAAUGAACGUCAUAUAUCAUAACAAGACAAAACUUUCAACAAUGGAUCUCU